Molecule: non-coding RNA, 112 nt
Organism: Acanthosepion pharaonis
Lineage: Eukaryota; Metazoa; Mollusca; Cephalopoda; Sepiida; Sepiidae
Source: the annotation of a GenBank genome assembly
UUGCAGCCACAUCACGUUGAAACAGCAUUUCCCGUACGAUCACCGAAGUUAAGCAACGUCGAGCCUGUUCAGUACCUCAUUGGAUAACCGCUGGGAAGAUCAGGUGCUGUAA